GCAAGAGUUUCCUAGGCAAGCCUACAGCCACUCAGAACAAGAUGUUUUCCACAAUGUCUAUACUGAGGACAAGCAUCCAAUAUACAAGUCUCACUAAACCAUGACAAAUUUAAGCAUUUGCAACAAAGGACUGAAAAUGAAAACGACAAGACUACAAAGACAUAGAGCCUCACCUGCCACCAACUACAACACAGAGAAUGUAGGCUGGAAUCUCAACCACUCCAAGGAGAAAUAAAUUAAUGAACUGAUCACCAUGAAGUACUGGUGUACUUAGAGAGAUUCCAAAAUAACUUAAACUACUCACAAAA
Long non-coding RNA from Biomphalaria glabrata, 308 nucleotides. RefSeq lists it as uncharacterized. The record is from RefSeq and is a predicted model, not a curated record. Lineage: Eukaryota; Metazoa; Mollusca; Gastropoda; Planorbidae. The transcript is spliced from 2 exons.